RNAcentral lists this ribosomal RNA (253 nucleotides) under uncultured bacterium. RNAcentral describes it as "partial 16S ribosomal RNA". It matches the Rfam family "Bacterial small subunit ribosomal RNA", at positions 524 to 776 of the family's 1533-position model. The record is from RNAcentral.
UACGUAGGGGGCUAGCGUUGUCCGGAAUUAUUGGGCGUAAAGAGCUCGUAGGCGGUCUGUCACGUCGGCUGUGAAAACCUGGGGCUCAACCCCGGGCCUGCAGCCGAUACGGGCAGACUAGAAUUCGGUAGGGGAGACUGGAAUUCCUGGUGUAGCGGUGAAAUGCGCAGAUAUCAGGAGGAACACCGGUGGCGAAGGCGGGUCUCUGGGCCGAUAUUGACGCUGAGGAGCGAAAGCGUGGGGAGCGAACAGG